Molecule: microRNA precursor, 205 nt
Filed under: Oryza sativa Indica Group (long-grained rice)
Lineage: Eukaryota; Viridiplantae; Streptophyta; Magnoliopsida; Poales; Poaceae
Description: MIR812 microRNA precursor family
Rfam family: MIR812 microRNA precursor family
Source: Rfam by way of RNAcentral
AAUAGAUGACGCCGCUGAUUUUUUCUCACAUGUUUGACCAUUCGUCUUAUUCAAAAAAUUUACGUAAUUAUAAUUUAUUUUAUUAUAAGUUAUUUUAUCAUUCAUAGUACUUUAAAUGUGAUUUAUAUCUUAUAUAUUUACCAUAAAAUUUUUGAAUAAGACGAAUGGUCAAACAUGUGAGAAAAAGUCAACGGCGUCAUCUAUU